GAUGAACGCUGGCGGCGUGCCUAAUACAUGCAAGUCGAGCGAACGGACGAGAAGCUUGCUUCUCUGAUGUUAGCGGCGGACGGGUGAGUAACACGUGGAUAACCUACCUAUAAGACUGGGAUAACUUCGGGAAACCGGAGCUAAUACCGGAUGAUAUUUUGAACCGCAUGGUUCAAAAGUGAAAGACGGUCUUGCUUUCACUUAUAGAUGGAUCCGCGCUGCAUUAGCUAGUUGGUAAGGUAACGGCUUACCAAGGCAACGAUGCAUAGCCGACCUGAGAGGGUGGUAGGCGACACUGGAACUGAGACACGCUCCAGACGCCUACGGGAGGGAGCAGUAGGGAAUCGGCCGCAGUAGGCGGAAACCUGACGGAACAACGCCGCGUGAGUGAUGAAGGUCUUCGGAGCGUAAAACUCUGUUAUUAGUGGAGAACAUAUGUGUAAGUAACUGUGCACAUCGUGACGGUACCUAAUCAGAAAGCCACGGCUAACUACGUG
RNAcentral lists this ribosomal RNA (497 nucleotides) under uncultured bacterium. RNAcentral describes it as "partial 16S ribosomal RNA". It matches the Rfam family "Bacterial small subunit ribosomal RNA", at positions 28 to 507 of the family's 1533-position model. The record is from RNAcentral.